UUAGGGAUAAAUUAGUUAGUGAGGCAUAAAAGAAAUAAUAGUGUAGAGACCCGCGCGAUGCAGUGGGUAGAUAAUAUAAACAAAAAUUAAAAAUUUUAAUAAAACUUAUAUUUAAAGCUUAUUGAUAUAUAGAAAGCUAUACCGUAAAUUCAACUGUUAAAACAAUAAAAUUAUAGUUAGAACCCACUCAUUGAUAGAAUAUUAAUAUGCUUCAUAUAAUUAAAUGUUGCAUCUAAUUAGAGGGGUGGGGAGGUGAAGGGUUGAACGUUGAGAAUGAAAGAUAACAUGCCUCGUGGUAAAAAAUAUUGUGGCUUCAUAUAGGUUUAUAGAUAUAGAUAACUAUG
This 344-nucleotide long non-coding RNA is filed under the name Ananas comosus (pineapple). Its description in RNAcentral is "long non-coding RNA (ACOM_LNC027395)". The record is from RNAcentral. Lineage: Eukaryota; Viridiplantae; Streptophyta; Magnoliopsida; Poales; Bromeliaceae.